Long non-coding RNA from Esox lucius (northern pike), 498 nucleotides. The record is from Ensembl. NCBI's taxonomy places the organism in Eukaryota, Metazoa, Chordata, Actinopteri, Esociformes, Esocidae.
UGCAGAGAUCUACCCCGCAAAGCCCUGUGGACCAUCUAAUGUGACUGAAGGGACCACAAUACAUUUCAAGUGUCAAACUAAUAACAUCACUAUAAGCGGGGACAUGGUUCAUUUUUACCUUUGCAAGGAUGGAGUUGGGAUACAAAUGGCACCAAUGAAGAAAGGUGCUGAAUCUGUUUUCUUGUUAAAAGAAGUAAAAAAACAAGACUCGGGCAAGUACAGCUGUGUGUACAGCAUAUGUAAACACCCAAUUAGCCAAGUGAAGUCAACAGGGGAUUAUCUGGUCUUACGGGUCAACGGAGUUGAAGAUGUGGAAGCAUCAACUACAACAGCAUCACCUAUUGUCUUCAUAGAUGUCCCAAAGAUAACAGGUUCCUUGGUCCUCCUAAUUUUGUCAAUGUCUGUCCUGCUUUUACUGUGGAAGUACUGGGGCAUCGUGAAACAAAGUAAGCACAUUUUAGAGUCCAAAUGCUUUGACUGAUUUUGUUUUUAAAUGUC